GAGCGAGGAGCGCCUUCUUCGCCCGCUUCCCGCCGCCGCGCGCCCGCCGCCAUUUUGUGAGGGUUCCUCAAGGGGGUGGAGGGCGGCGGGGCCGGGCCUGGGGGCGGCCCUGUGUGUUUAACGGGGCCCAUGAAGCUGUGUGGAGAGAAAGAGGCCGGAUGGUGCCCGGAGCUGCUGCUGUGAUUUGAAUUGCUCACGUGAGCGUUCGCUGCAAUCCCAUUGGCUGUCAGCACGCGCUCCGGAAGUAGCUCCGGCGUCAAAGACAGGAAGUGACGCCAUUUUGAUGCUGCGGCCUCAGGAAGUGACGCCAUUUUGAGGUGGCGGAGGCCGGAAGUGACGCCAUUUUGAGGCGGCGGAGGCCCGAGGCGGGAGCGGCGGUUUG
Molecule: non-coding RNA, 382 nt
Organism: Coturnix japonica (Japanese quail)
Lineage: Eukaryota; Metazoa; Chordata; Aves; Galliformes; Phasianidae
Source: RefSeq, a predicted model, not a curated record